RNAcentral lists this ribosomal RNA (253 nucleotides) under uncultured bacterium. RNAcentral describes it as "partial 16S ribosomal RNA". It matches the Rfam family "Bacterial small subunit ribosomal RNA", at positions 524 to 776 of the family's 1533-position model. The record is from RNAcentral.
UACGAAGGGUGCAAGCGUUACUCGGAAUUACUGGGCGUAAAGCGUGCGUAGGUGGUGAGUUAAGUCUGUCGUGAAAGCCCCGGGCUCAACCUGGGAAUGGCGAUGGAUACUGGCUCGCUAGAGUGCGGUAGAGGAGAGUGGAAUUCCCAGUGUAGAGGUGAAAUUCGUAGAUAUUGGGAAGAACACCGAUGGCGAAGGCAGCCAUCUGGACCGACACUGACGCUGAGGCGCGAAAGCGUGGGGAGCAAACAGG